Molecule: long non-coding RNA, 1411 nt
Organism: Astatotilapia calliptera (eastern happy)
Lineage: Eukaryota; Metazoa; Chordata; Actinopteri; Cichliformes; Cichlidae
Source: Ensembl
GGUUUGGAUAAUUAUUCAGUUUUUUUCAUUGAUUCGUCGUGACCCUAAAUAGUUUCUAAGGUUAUGAAAUGGGAAAUUGAUCAGCGGAGAGCCCUGAUGGAGAGAGGAACAAACUCACAUAAUAUCCAAAUAUUCAAAUCUCUCUCCCGCUCUCCUCCUCUCUCCACUCUCGCUCCUCAAAUAUCCGUGACCAAAUGGACUUAUAAUUGGAAGUCAGGGCGCACAAAAAUACUCCUCACCUUCUCGCUGAGUUGUCUAGAUAUUAGUUCUGCUGAGUUACAGGGUUGAUAUGAGCACAUGGGAAGAAGAUGAGGGAAAGAGAACAACAUUAGGAGGGGGCAUUCACUUGUGUUUGCACGGGACUUUCUCAUCCUAUAAUUUUUUUUCCUUCUGUUAUUUAUUUAUUUAUUUAUUUAUUUUUCGUCUGAGGGCGUGGAGGUUUUACACACAAACACACACUAAAAGAGUUACACACACAUUCCCUAGCCCAUCUUUUCCUCUCUUCCAACAACGUUUCUCAUUAUAGCCUGUCUCCUCGUGUUUGUCAUAUUGGGCGGUCACCCAUGAUGAUAUCAUAGGGUACUGGGGUAUUUGUUGUGCGUGUGUCUGUGCGUGCGUGUGUGUGUGUGUGUGUGUUCAGUUGUUUGCAACCAUGACUUGGCUUUUCACAACACCCCUGUGAGAUUCCUCACACAUAUGUCCACACACAGACUCUCUCUCUCGGUCUCUCUUUCUCUGACAGAGAGUCAGAAAGUCCCAUUAGCUUCCGAGCCCUUAUUUCUUCCUUGUGGGUGUUGAGAGUCCCCCAUUGUCUGAACUGAAUAGGACAUGUCUCUGGAUCUAUGAAUCCUAUUAUGAAGGAAGUGAAAGGAGGGGGAGGAGGGGAAAAGGAUGAUGGGUAGAUGGAUUUUAGACAGAGCGAUAGAGUAGCAACGUGUGCUGACAAUAGUCUCAGCAGACAAAUAACAAAAAACUGGUCUUUUUUUUUUUUUUUUUUAAAGGCCUAAAGUUUCCUUUGUGGCAAAAGUAAGAGAGCUUUGAAAUUAGUCACACAUGUCAAUGCCAAAACAUCUUAGGAAGAAGAUCAAUAAAACACACACACAGAAAAAAAAAUGGCUGGCUGUAGACUUUGUCUUUUUGCCUUCCUUCAUCCGUGACAUAGCCUAUGCACGUCACUGAUGCCAUUGCCAGCAUUUCUACCAGUGUGUACUGGGCUACUGGUAAAUGUAGGGAGGCCUAUGGACAUUUCUAAGCAGGUGGUUACAGAACAGGUUAUGGUGUAGAUUAGAGGGUAGGUUACAGCAUUCCCUAUUACACUGGAGCUAGCCAUGACCAGCAUGGACGAUGCACAUCUGCGUUGACCCAUUACUGGUGUGACAGUUGAACACAAUUUAAGAUGUUAUGGUUAACA